GACGAACGCUGGCGGCGUGCUUAACACAUGCAAGUCGAACGGUAAGGGCCUGCCUUUGUGGGGUGCUCGAGUGGCGAACGGGUGAGUAACACGUGAGUAACCUGCCCUUGACCUUGGGAUAACUAUUGGAAACUGGGGCUAAUACCGCAUAGGAGCACCUGCUGCAUGGUGGGGGUUGGAAAGUUUCGUCGGCUGGGGUUGGACUUGAGGCUUAUUUGCUUGAUGGUGAGGUAGUGGUAUAGCAAGGCCUUGACGGGUAGCCAGCCUGGGAGGGUGACCGGCCACAGUGGGACUGAGGUGGGAGCAGGACGGCUACUGGAGGAAGCAGUGGAAGAUAGAGCGAGAUGGGCGGAGGCCGGAUACAGCAACGCCGGGUGCGAGAUGACGGUCUUCGGGGUAGAACCAGUUUUCGCCUGUGAAGAAGCGAGAGUGACGGUAAUGGAUAAGAAAGCGCCGGCUAACUACGUG
RNAcentral lists this ribosomal RNA (468 nucleotides) under uncultured bacterium. RNAcentral's name for it is "partial 16S ribosomal RNA". It matches the Rfam family "Bacterial small subunit ribosomal RNA", at positions 28 to 507 of the family's 1533-position model. The record is from RNAcentral.